AUUGAACGCUGGCGGCAGGCCUAACACAUGCAAGUCGAGCGAGCGGCGGACGGGUGAGUCAUGUCUGGUAAACUGCCUUAUGGCUGGUGCUAACUACUGGAACCGGUAUCUAAUACCGCAUACCAUCAGCUUUGCCCAGAUGGGAUUAGCUAGUAGGUGGGGUAAUGGCUCACCUCGGCGACGAUCCCUAGCUGGUCUGAGAGGAUGACCAGCCACACUGGAACUGAGACACGGUCCAGACUCCUACGGGAGGCAGAAGUGGGGAAGAUUGAACAAUGGGCGAAAGCCUGAUGCAGCCAUGCGGCGUGUGGGAAGAAGGCCUUCGGGUUGUAAAGCACUUUCAGCGGGGAGGCGUUACCAGCAGAAGAAGCACCGGCUAACUCCGUGCCAGCAGCCGCGGUAAUAC
Molecule: ribosomal RNA, 406 nt
Filed under: uncultured bacterium
Lineage: Bacteria
Description: partial 16S ribosomal RNA
Rfam family: Bacterial small subunit ribosomal RNA
Source: RNAcentral